AUUUAGCACAAAAUCACGUGUUACAGACGGUGAAACAGUUACAGCACCCCUCACCCCUCUAAAGUGCACCUUCAACAAAAGCAUAAAGUUAGGCUAUAUGACAUCACAUCAGUUUAAUUCUGCUUUUAUUUUCAUUAGACUUAUAUAAAUAUAUCCAUACUGUAUAAUAAGUGAAGUGUAAUGAAAAUAAAAUAAAAUCUCAGGAUUUAUAUAUUAUCCUACGUGAGCGCGUGAGUCGUGAUUCCUCUCGCGCCGUUCGCCCUUUCACUGUACAGCGUUUCAUUGCGGACGCCCUUUUUCCAGCAGGAACGGAACAUCGCAGUCUAAUUUCUUGUGUUUGAUGCGGCAGAAAUGUCGACAGCCAUUCGACUGUUGUAAUAAACCGAUUUGAAUCAUAUUGCGCGCAGAAUGUCGACAAGCCCUCUGCGGAUCGCGUCGCUGAAUCAUUCUCGAGGAGAAGCGUUUAGUUAUUCAGACAGACGUCAAUGGGAAGCAGUCAAAGCGGCAGAGGAGUGAUGAUCCCCCUGAAAUCGAUACAAGUGUAACUCGAUUUGAAGUCUCUAAGUGCGCCGAGAGCACGCAAAUGCGUACAACCGGUAGUCUACGUCCUCAUGACCAAUUCUGGAUAGUGAUUUGGGGAACCCUUAAGACGUAACGCACGUGUCAGACGGGUAGCUCGUAUUCUCCCUCCUGAAUGUGGGAUGAUCAAGACAGCGGAAUACACCGAGUGCCCCCGCAAAGGAGCAGAGGACAGAAAAUAACUCUCUUAGACGCUGAGUGGGAAGAGUCUUUGCGAGGCUGCAUUUACUUCCGCUUCUAUUUUCAGAGUCCCAUCUCCUCAUCAGGAGCUACUUUUUUUUGUCGUCCCUGCCUACCCUGCAUCCCUUCAUCUUUUGCUUAGUUGAUUCCUAUUUGUUUAUGAGUUUCCUCCAGCUGUGAGAAGUUGUUUUUUUCCGGACUGUACGCCGUAGACUUUGAUACUGCAUAAUUAAUUUCAAGAACAUCCUGACCUCCAAAUGUCCUACUUUUAAAAC
Molecule: long non-coding RNA, 1034 nt
Organism: Cyprinus carpio carpio
Lineage: Eukaryota; Metazoa; Chordata; Actinopteri; Cypriniformes; Cyprinidae
Source: Ensembl